ACGGGGCGAAAUGGCCCCUAUGCUUUCUAAACUCUUCGUAAAGUAUUUUUGAAUGCAUUCCUAUGCUAAUUGGAAUUUAUGUGAAUUUUAGAACACCUAAAAUACAUGCCUUAUGUGUAAGUUAAAUUUCACUCUAUAUAGUAGAGUAAUCAAGGUUAUUUUCAUGCAUGUGAGGAGUGUUCAUGUGGACGAAUGGGAUUCUCGUCUAGUAUGCUAAUUUAGCUCAUAUUCGUGUAUUGAAAACAUUAUACUAUGUUUGGACUUAGUAGCAUAAAGUGUCAUCAAGAGGCACUUGAAACUAGUAAACUAUGAAACUGCAACAUAGAAACAUAAUAUUAGGCCAUUGUACAUCUGCUAUAUAUUUCAUGUUAGAGACAUGAUGACAUAGAGAUAGGCCUUUGGGGCAUUCGAUACAUUCCAUGUUAUAAGACAUGAGGACUUGGUACUUGUGACUGGACAUAUGACUACUUGCCAUUGUGCUCAUUCGCACAUGCUUGUGAGGGUCGCUCCCUACAAGCCGGCACUCUGGAGAUAGCCAUCGCGAUUCAUAUUCGCCGUGCGGGAUUGGGCGCCGAAGUGGAUUGCCGUGGGCCAGGCUCAUUCUUAGGGUGGGGAUGAUGACUAUCACGAGGCCAUUAGGCUCGGCAUCGGCCAGACAGCCUACGGGCGGGUCUCAGGGCCAUAGACAGCCUUCGGGUGGGUCUCUUCAGAUUUGACUUUGAGUAUUCACUAUGACAUGUGAACUUUUAAACUAUUAAAGUGGACUUCGACUAGAAUAGUAAACUAUGACACCUUUACUAUUUCUGCAUUGAGGACAUCGGAUUGGUUGCAUUUCUAUGCUUAUGCAUGUCAUACACAUCUAUGUACAUUCAUGAUAUCGUUACUUUAUCACUUAUGCAAAUCAUGCUAAGUAGAGACCUUAUGUUAUAGUAAGUUACAUUUUACUUACCUUUCGCUUUACUACAUUGUUAGUCACUGACCUCUUUUUGUAGCUUUGGGCCUUGUGGUGCAUUCACUGAAGUCAGUAAUUGCCCACUGGGAACUAUUUUUAAUAGUUCUCACGCCCUCUUUUUUGUGGUUUCUUUCAGAGCCUUCUGCACCGGCGGAGGCACGGGAUCGCGGCAAGGGGAUCGCAUAGCUAGCUAGCGAGGAGCGGUUCUUUGCCUAGGUGGUUUACUCUUUCUUUUUAUAGUUCGAGAGAGAGUGAGAGAUUUUGUAUCCAUGUAUAGAGACCACCUGUGUAUCUACUUUUAGCACUUAUAUUUGGGAUUUUCUUUGUAUUACUUUAUGCUUCUAUUAGCGGAUUCCAGCUUUAUGUUCUUUUCGCUAUUGUAGAACUUAGUAUUAUAUCAUGCUCUGAUACUCCUAGAUGUCUUUUAUUAUUGCUUUAAUUAUUGUUGUUUUAGACGCCUUAUAUGUUUUAGACGUAUGGCGGGUCUGGGCACAUGCCGGGCGGGCUUCCGCUGGGUCCCGGGGCGUGACAGAUUAAUUUGGUAUCAGAACCUAGGGUUGAGUCUUAGUAGACCUAGCAAACCUUAGGCCGGUUGGACUAUAGGAAAUAGGCUCGUAAGAGACGAGGUCUAUUUGAUUUGUGAGCGAAAGUAUCAUGAUUGGGUAUUAUGAUAACUCUAAAAAGUUAGAGUUGAUUGGAGUGUUUGGGCUUCUAACUUCGCGGAGGGUUACGUUGGCGGCCGACAACGUAACAUCGGGAGUUAGAUGUGAAUAACACUUCCUUACUUUCGCAUGAUUUGGGUUUUAUUUUGAGAGUGGAUGCGAUAGCGUGGGUUACUAACUUGCGCUUUUAUGAUGUUGUAGUGACAAUGCCGAUUACUCGCUCCCAAUCUGCCGGGGUGGACAAUGCGGCAAAUUUUGAGGAGGUCGAGACCUCCGCUACCUCCGGAUCUAGCGAGGUCCAUGAGUUGAGGGGCCAGCUUGCGGCCCUUACUGAUUUAGUCACUCAGCAGGCGGAGGCUGCCUGACAGCAUACCGAGGCGGCGCUCCGACAGGAGGCGCGGAUGAAGCGUCUGGAGGACCUACUACUGCAGCAGGCAGCAGCUUCUGGGGAGACUCAGGCCCCUACACCGCCAGCACCAGUUGUGGACGUUGCACCAAGAGUGCCAUCCCCCGCGCCCAGUUCUUCGCGUGUGGCGCCUGUGGCCGCACCCCAGGAGGAGGUCUUGGCGGCACCACCUGUGCAGAGGCCCCCGGUUAGAGCAACUUUCCCUACUUUGGUUGAGGGGGAGGAGCGAGAUAGACUGAUGGAGCGCCUUAAUGAGUUCAGGAGGUGCAGCCCCCGAGUCUUCGACGGCGAGAAGGUCGACCACUGGAUCAUGGAAAAGUGGUUGAUGCAUAUGGAGAAGCUCUUUCGCGACACUUUUGUGGAGGAGAGGGACAGAGUUUGGCUCGCCACUCAUCAUUUGGACGGCGAGGCCUACCGCUGGUGGUUGGAUCUCCAGGAGAACCCCCGCACAGACUUGGCAGCUAUCACUUGGACAAGGUUCAAGGAACUUCUUUUGGCGCACUACUUCCCGACCAGCGUCAAGAGGAAGAUGGAGCAGGAUUUGCACAGCUUGCGCCAGGGUGACAGGACCGUAGUUGAGUACGAGCGGGGGUUUUCUCGGCUUCUGCAUUGCGUGCCCUUCGUCGUGCGGGACGACGAGGACAAGGCCCGCAUCUUCGAGUGAGGAUUGAGACUGUCUAUCUUUCGGUACGUGCAAUCCUCUAACCUCCAAACCUACCGGGAGGUGGUGGAUCGCGCGCUCAUUGUGGAGAGCGGCGCGACGGAUGUUCAGGAGCAGCGUGAGGCUACGGACAAAGGGAAGGCCAAGAGGCCUGCGGCUGAGGGUGCGAGCCAGACGCACUCUAGGAGGCCGCCGAAACAUCCUAAGAGCAAGCAGCGUGGACGCGGCUAAGCAGCGCAUCGAGGAGGAUCCGAUCAGCGCCGGCCUUCCCCGUGUGUGAUCUGCGGUGGUCCCCAUUACCCACCGCAGUGCCCACAGCGGGCGGGCAGGUGCUUCCAGUAUAGCCAGGAGGGCCACGUCCGUACUGAGUGCCGGAGGGGUUCUUCACCGGCACCGUCGACUGCAUCGGCAUCGGCUUUACCAGCCGCCAGCCAGGGGACUCCAUCGGCACAGUAUCAGCCUGGGCGGCCACCCGUCCAGCGCCAGAGCGAGGGAUCUUGACAGGCCCCGAGUGGGCGCAUGUACGCCGCUCAGACCGAGGAGGCGGCAGCAGUCGAGGAUGUGGUUGCAGGUAUCAUUUUACUUGAUGGCAUUAGAGUUCGUGCUUUAUUUGAUACCAGUGCAUCGCAUUCAUUCAUAGAUCGACUGUUUGCCGAGUUGCAUGGCAUUCCAUUGGUUCCUUUGUUGCAUACAGGACAUGUUGUUGUACCCGACCACAUUUUGGAUAUUAGAGAGUAUAGCCCCAGUUGCCCUUGUUCGGGUAGGAGAUUGGAUCAUGCCUGUAGAUUUGCUAGCUUUGCGCAAGCUCGGAGAUUUUGACGUGGUCUUGGGCAUGGAUUGGUUGACCAAGUACUAUGCCACGAUUGAUUGUAAGAACCGCACAGUUACUUUUAGAGAACCUGGGUAGACUGAGGUGGUAUUUAUUGGAUGCCGGAAUUCGCUGUUUGCGAUGACAAUCAGCUCGUCCCGAGCUAGGCAGCUGAUCAGUAGAGGUUGCGUAGCCUAUUUGGCUAGUGUUGCGUUGAGGGGCGAGGAUGAUACCCCUAGGAUUGAGGAUAUCCCGGUGGUGUGGGAGUUUCAGGAUGUGUUUCCAGCUGAGCUACCGGGUAUGCCUCCUGAUAGGGAGAUUGAGUUUGUGGUAGAUCUCGUCCCUGAGACUAUCCCAAUCUCAAAGGCACCCUAUAGGAUGGCACCGGCAGAGCUGAGGGAGCUGAGGGCACAGUUGCAGGAUUUGUUGGACAAGGGCUUUAUUCACCCGAGCGUCUCGCCUUGGGGAGCACCAGUUUUGUUCGUCAAGAAAAAGGACGGAUCGCUUCGCCUUAGUGUGGAUUAUCGUGAACUUAACAAAGUCACGAUCAAGAACAAGUAUCCAUUGCCGAGGAUCGACGACUUGUUUGAUCAGCUUCAGGGAUCAUGUGUGUAUUCCAAGAUAGACUUGCAGUCUGGAUACCACCAAUUGAGGAUCAAACCCGAGGAUGUAUCGAAGACAGCUUUUAGAACACGGUAUGGACAUUACGUGUUCACAGUUAUGCCGUUCGGGCUUACUAAUGCCCCGGCAGCUUUUAUGGAUCUAAUGAACCGUGUUUUCAAGCCUUAUCUAGACAGGUUCGUCGUGGUGUUCAUCGACGACAUUUUGGUCUACUCUCGAAGUGAUGUAGAUUACGAGGAGCAUUUGAGAAUUGUACUCCAAGUACUUCGGGAAAAGGAGCUUUAUGCCAAGUUGAAGAAAUAUAAAUUUUGGCUUCGAGAGGUAGCUUUCCUUGGACACUUGAUUUUGGGAUCAGGUGUAGCCGUGGAUCCCAAGAAGAUUGAAGCAAUCAAGGAUUGGCCGAGACCGACGAGCGUCACAGAGAUACGGAGCUUCCUUGGAUUGGCCGGUUACUACCGGAGAUUUGUAGAGGGGUUUGCUAGACUGUCUACUCUCCUCACGAGGCUCACGCAUAAAGGAGUCAAAUUUAUUUGGAGUGAUGCGUGCGAGCGAAGCUUCCAAGAGUUGAAGCAGAGAUUGACGACCGCCCCUAUCUUGACCCUACCAGUAGCUGGGGCAGGGUAUGUGGUUUAUAGCGAUGCUUCACUUAACGGAUUCGGUAGUGUGUUGAUGCAGGAUGGCAAGGUGAUCGCGUAUGCUUCUCGCCAACUAAAGGAAUACGAAAAGAAUUACCCGACGCAUGAUUUGGAGUUGGCGGCCGUAGUGUUUGCAUUGAAGCUAUGGCGCCACUAUCUUUAUGGCGAGCGGUGUGAAGUAUACACGGAUCACAAGAGCUUGAAGUACCUGUUUACUCAGAAGGAGUUGAACUUGAGGCAGCGCAGAUGGUUGGAGCUACUCAAGGAUUAUGAUCUGACGAUCCUUUACCACCCGGGCAAGGCUAAUGUGGUGGCGGAUGCGCUAAGUAGGAAAUCGAUGGAAAACUUAGCGAUGCAUGUUGUGACUCAACCGCAGUUGAUCGAGCAGAUGAAGCGGUUUGAGUUGGAGAUAGUGACUCCUGACACACCCUUGAGAUUGAUGACAUUAGUAGUGCAACCUACCUUGUUGGACAGAAUCAAAGAGAAGCAAGUUUUCGAUUUGGAAUUGCAAAAGAUUCGAGCUAAAAUGGUUGAUGGUUGCACCGGCGACUUCCUUUUGGAUGAUCAGGGAUUGAUGCGUUUCCGUGGGCGGAUUUGUGUACCGGCAGAUUCGGGGAUUAAAGAGGAUAUCCUUCAUGAAGCGCACCGAGCGCCGUAUGCUAUACAUCCGGGUGGCACCAAGAUGUACAAGAACUUAAAGUUACUCUACUGGUGGCCCGGGAUGAAAAAGGAUGUUGGCGAGUUCGUUGCUAGAUGUUUAACUUGCCAACAAGUGAAGGCUGAGCACCGAGUUCCCACGGGAAAGCUUCAGAGUUUGCCUGUCCCCGUGUGGAAAUGGGAGAUGAUCACUAUGCUUUGUGACAGGAUUGCCACGCUCACAGGCGGGGCAUGAUGCUAUUUGGGUGAUCGUGGAUAGGUUGACGAAGUCGGUGCACUUCAUACCUAUUCAUACAACUUGGACCGGGGAGAAACUCGCACAAGUGUACCUUGAUGAGAUUGUGCGGCUUCAUGGAGUGCCUACAUCGAUUGUAUCUGAUCGCGACACGCGCUUCGUGUCUCACUUUUGGAGCAGUCUGCAGGACGCCUUAGGCACCCGAUUGGAUUUCAAUACGGCAUUCCACCCGCAGAGUGAUGGACAGUCGAAGCGCACUAUACAGACCUUAGAGGAUAUGCUCCGGGCAUGUGUGAUAGACUUCCAAGGAGGAUGGUGGCGGAGUUUUCUUAUAACAACAGUUAUCAAGCAAGCAUCAAGAUGGUGCCAUUCGAAGCACUUUAUGGACGGAAGUGUAGAUCGCCACUUCAUUGGAGUGAAGUCGGUAAGAGAUUGGCUUUAGGCCCUGAUGUGCUCCAGAAAGCUGAGGACAAGGUUCGAAUUGCUCGGGAGCGACUUUUGACGGCGCAGAGUAGACAAAGGAGCUACGCCGACCGACGACGGCGAGACUUGGAGUUCCAAGUGGGAGACCAUGUUUUCUUGAAGGUCUCGCCGACUAGAGGAAUCAAGAGAUUCGGGAUUCGGGGAAAGUUGAGCCCCUGUUUCAUUGGACCGUAUGAGGUUUUGGAGCGUGUGGGUCCGGUAGCGUAUCGACUUGCUCUACCACCGAACCUAUCAGGCGUGCACAACGUCUUUCAUGUAUCGGUCCUUCGGAGGUACAUUUAUGAUCCAGCUCACGUUUUGGAGACUAUACCAGUGGAGCUGCGUGAGGAUUUGAGCUUCGAGGAGCAACCAGUGAAGAUUUUGGCUCGCGAGGUGAAAAAGCUGCGGAAUCGGGAUAUUCCGUAUGUGAAGGUCCUUUGGAGCAACCACGAGGAGCGGAAGGUCGCGUGGGAGCUAGAGAGUGCUUUGCAGGAGCGGUAUCCCCAUCUUUUUCAGAUGGAGCCUUGAGGUAUGCUUUUGACUUACGAGUUUCGCGGACGAAACUCCUUUUUAGGAGGGGUGAAUGUAGCACACUGGACCUUUGCAAAUUGCGAGGUUCGAGUGUUCGAUAUGUAUUCCGAACUUUUCCACACUUGGUGGAGGGCCGUCGAUGGUAUACCGGCCUAAAAGUUCAAUAUCGAGAGUUUUGACUUAGUCCUGAGAGUUUUCACUCUCGGGGACCGGUCCCUGAUAUGAGAGACCGGUCUCCUCAGCACAGUGCUACGACAGGGCUUGAGGCAACCGUCCCUGGCGGGGAGAGACCGGUUUCUGAACGCUGGUUUUGCGGGACGAGCCGAGAGACCGAUCCCUGCCAGGGAGAGACCGGUCCCUCAGCGCGUGAGCGGCCCAGACCGGGCAGUGCACAGAGUGGAUUUUUGAGGGGCCUAAGUGGAUUUUGUUACCUUAGAGGCUAUAGGCAGCCUCUCUUCCCCUCCUACUCUCUCAUUUUCUCUCCCUCACACUCUUCCUACACUUCUAGAGAGAGAAAGGGAAGGAGAAGAAGGUGAAGGAGAGGAGAGGAGCUUGCUUGGAGGCCUUGGAGCACCAUCUUCUUCCUCAUUUCUCACCUUUAGAAGCUUGGAGCAUGCUUUUGGAGCUUUGUGGUGGAUCAAUCUUCAACCCUAGAAGAUUUUGAGCUUGGUUUGGAGCAUUCUAGAGGUAAGUGGCAACGUUCCUUCCUCUAGAUCUUAGUUUUGGAGCUUUUUGCUUGUCUAAACCCUAGAUUUUGGAUUUUAGGGUUAGAUUUGGGGAUUCUUGAUUUGAGGCUUCUUGAUCUCAUUUGAAUGGUUUAGAACCUUUAUAUAGGUUAGAUUGGAAGACCUCUACCUCCCAUUUGAAGAUUAAGAGAGGGAUCUUUGCAUUUGAGGUGAGUUUUCCUUACCUAUGCUUGAAUAGCUUAAUGAUUGAGCUUAGCGUCGUUCGUUUCGAUUAGGUAACACUUAUUUUCAUACCUCUAGGGCACUAAGAGGCUAGAGGACACCUUCGUCGGAGCAAACGAAGAAUUACGUUUACCAUUGGUGGGUUUGACUUCAUAAAAACGGGGCGAAAUGGCCCCUAUGCUUUCUAAACUCUUCGUAAAGUAUUUUUGAAUGCAUUCCUAUGCUAAUUGGAAUUUAUGUGAAUUUUAGAACACCUAAAAUACAUGCCUUAUGUGUAAGUUAAAUUUCACUCUAUACAGUAGAGUAAUCAAGGUUAUUUUCAUGCAUGUGAGGAGUGUUCAUGUGGACGAAUGGGAUUCUCGUCUAGUAUGCUAAUUUAGCUCAUAUUCGUGUAUUGGAAAUAUUAUACUAUGUUUGGACUUAGUAGCAUAAAGUGUCAUCAAGAGGCACUUGAAACUAGUAAACUAUGAAACUGCAACAUAGAAAUAUAAUGUUAGACCAUUGUACAUCUGCUAUAUAUUCCAUGUUAGAGACAUGAUGACAUAGAGAUAGGCCUUUGGGGCAUUCGAUACAUUCCAUGUUAUAAGACAUGAGGACUUGGUACUUGUGACUGGACAUAUGACUACUUGCCAUUGUGCUCAUUCGCACAUGCUUGUGAGGGUCGCUCCCUACAAGCCGGCACUCUGGAGAUAGCCAUCGCGAUUCAUAUUCGCCGUGCGGGAUUGGGCGCCGAAGUGGAUUGCCGUGGGCCAGGCUCAUUCUUAGGGUGGGGAUGAUGACUAUCACGAGGCCAUUAGGCUCGGCAUCGGCCAGACAGCCUACGGGCGGGUCUCAGGGCCAUAGACAGCCUUCGGGUGGGUCUCUUCAGAUUUGACUUUGAGUAUUCACUAUGACAUGUGAACUUUUAAACUAUUAAAGUGGACUUCGACUAGAAUAGUAAACUAUGACACCUUUACUAUUUCUGCAUUGAGGACAUCGGAUUGGUUGCAUUUCUAUGCUUAUGCAUGUCAUACACAUCUAUGUACAUUCAUGAUAUCGUUACUUUAUCACUUAUGCAAAUCAUGCUAAGUAGAGACCUUAUGUUAUA
Molecule: long non-coding RNA, 8625 nt
Filed under: Ananas comosus (pineapple)
Lineage: Eukaryota; Viridiplantae; Streptophyta; Magnoliopsida; Poales; Bromeliaceae
Description: long non-coding RNA (ACOM_LNC044459)
Source: RNAcentral